Molecule: long non-coding RNA, 969 nt
Filed under: Equus caballus (horse)
Lineage: Eukaryota; Metazoa; Chordata; Mammalia; Perissodactyla; Equidae
Description: lncRNA (ENSECAG00000049088.1)
Source: RNAcentral
AGCAGAUAAACCUCCAGGGCUUAUGAAGAGUGAGAAGUGACCCUGCCCAGAUCAAUACAGACGCCGCUCAUCCCAACCCAGCUCUCUUUACUCUGAAUGUCGGCGAAGAGGAAAUCCUUGGAGUUGGGUCAUCAGCCUGUGUAGUUGGUGCGAACAUUGACGGUGCUGAGCUUGAUGUCUGGCACAUAACGAACACACAAACAUCAGCUAUGGUGCUGCUCAUGAGGACCCGCUCAGAGCCUGGGAGGCUGAAAGAAUCCUUCUCACAUCUAAGAAGCAAGGGUGAGAUUCUGCCUCCAAAGUUUUGCCCAAGAUGUUGUGUCUGCACACCUAGUCUUCUCCUCACCCUGGAACAUGAGCCCCAGAGAGGAGUCUGCUUCUGUGUUCUGCCAGAGCCUCCCAGAGGCAGCCAGCUGGCUGGAUCCUGGGCAACAACGAGCGGAACGUGUCUGUCUUCACAUCUCGGAAGCACCACAUCGCGUUGCUGCGUCCGUGAGCUCUCUCUCGAUCUCUCUGAGUUCUCCUGUGUAAUGUAUUCCAGGUGUCUCUCCUUCUGCUACGUGCUCUGGAAACUAACAACAAACCUGCGGUCCUGAGACUUUCCUGAGGAAUUGCCUUGAAGAGAGAGUCUGUUCACUGUGACUCUGAUGUAAACCCUUCCAGAGACCGUUUGCUUCAUUUUUGUUCCUUUUGCAGAACUUAAUUUUUUAAAAGAAAGUUUAAAAACAAGAUUGUAAACUUUUAUGGGUUGAAUUGUGUCCCCCCAAAAUAUAUGUUGAAGUCCUCACCCCCAGAACCUCAUAAUGUGAACUUAUUUGAAAAUAGAGAUGUUGCAGAUGUAAUUAGAUAAGAUGAGGUCAUACGGGAAUAAGGUGGGCCCCUAAUUCAAUCUGUCUGGUGUCCUUACAAGGAUAUGGCCGUGUGAAGACAGAGACAUGGGGAGGAUGCCAUGUGAGGAAGGAGGAUUGG